UGUGACAGAAACAAAAAUGCAAGGCAAGUUGGGCAUCCAAACGCAGUGUAACGCAAACGACAAUAAAAAACGCAUAGCCAACAUCAAAAGGCAAACAGCAACAGCACCACAGGAAAACGCCGACAGUUACAACCAAGCGCUCCUCCAAACAACUCAAAACGAUGGCCAAAACGCAGAAGCAAAACCAAAAUCACUUUUCCUGCAUAAUCACUUUCAAAUCACUAAAUGCAGAAGCUUUCUAACAAACUAACAAAACUUAACAGAUAUGCAGAAUUUUCAGGAAGAAUUAUUAACCGAGUAUCACUUCGAAUGCGCAAAAAAUAUAUAAGUGGAUUUUCUAAUUAAGCAUAGCAGAAAAUGGAACUUCGCUAACAGUCUAUGGGGAAUACCAUUCCACUGUAAAUCUUCAUUUCAUUUAAUUUGGAUUUUAACUAACUAGUGAAUUCCUACCUAACUAGUGAAUUACAGUAGAAUUUCAGUUGAAUUUGACAUGAAUUUGAGAGCAGAUUUGAACCGUAUAAAACCACUUCCAUACUUCAGUUCAACAGAGAUUUGGGGGGAGAGGGAAGAACAGUUCUUCACGUUCAUCAAAGUGCAGAAUCCACAGUUGCCCAUACAGAUUUUUUCCAUUCAAUUCUUUGCACAUUCUACACGGAUUCAGAAGAUUUCUUCAACCAUAAUCCAUUCGUAUCCCCGAUCAUUCUCGCAAUGAUCCGUAACUUUCAGAACCGCUCGAAUCCGUAACGCAUCGAAAUCAAACCGGAGAAGAAGAAGAAAGAUCAACCGAGAAUCAAACCGGAGAAGAAGAAGAAAGAUCAACCGAGAAUCAAACGAAGAAGUCCAAUACCUGUUGAAUCCGGUAAGUCUUAACUUAAUAGUAAUUAUUUGCAUCAAGAAAAUGUAGGUUUGCAGUGAUUCUUUAGUUGGAGACAUAAUUCAUAUUGCAUACUAGUUAGUUGUUUGUGGAUCCGAAUCAGGCUGUGAGAACCACAAAAUUAAGGAAUAAUGGAGACAUUAGAAUGUCAAUAUAUUUUUGAAUUUAAUUAAUACUAAAAUUAGACCGCGUAUGAUUAAUUAAUACUAGCAUGCCAAGUGUGGUGUGAGCCCGAAUGGGGGUUGAAGUGAAUUGUGAUUCGUUUAGGCCUGAAGAGGCCCAUGACCAAUUUUGUCUUUGCAUCUUCCUAGGGGGCGCAAAUUCAUGUGGGUGAAAGUAAAAGAAUAUUCGUUUGGAUCUAAGGCCCAAAUCCAACCCUCCAUGGCCAAAUGAUGUUGAUUAUCUUGCUGAAAGGGGAUGGCGGUCAACACAGAAUCCAAACGCAAGAGCAGUGGAAAUGAGAAACAAGUCAAAGCCAAUCUCGUGAGGGAUGACCUUCUCCGCCGUGCGCCCGCCUCCGAUCGCCGGUGUUAACACUGAGCAUCAUGUGUCAUUGCAUCAUGUUCCCACAACAUCAGUUGUGACGUCGCACCUCCGUCGCUUCAAGGUCUUCCGGAUUUUAUGUACCGGUGUCAAAUCCCCUUCGUGUUCAUCCAGGAAAUGGAGUAUUUAGAUCGUACACGAAUAAAGCAACAACUUGUGCACCGACUAACCUCACCGCCAUUAACGCUUUGACAAUGAAACAUUGGGAUUUGUUUCCGUCUUGCACCAACAGUCGGGAAUGUCGAUGAAUGGAACCGAUUUCCUUCUCCGUGAUGAACUGGAAACAAUGAUGGACCCGUGGUAUCUGGAUAAAUUCGGUUGCACGCAGAGUCAAAAAAAGAAAAGAAUGGUGAAUGAGGAACCUACCGGAUGUAUGAACCGUAUGCGUUGCCGUUAAAGAUGACAAUGUUGCUUCCAGAUUUACGCGUGGAUUUCAGAGGUUUUUGGCGCGUGAAGAAGUCUUGGCUACAGAAUCCAGUGAGAUCCGGUUGCGGUGUUCCGUUACAGAAUGGAGAUGUAAAAUCCAGAAUGAGGAGGAAGAGGAUGAUUGAGGAAAAAAAUGAAUAUGAUUGAAAAGGUUGAAGAAGAUGAGGGAGAAAGUGCAGAAAUGAAGAUGGUGAAUCUAAAUAGAAUCAAGAAGAAUUGAAGAAGCGAAACAAGGGUUGAAGCUUCUGUUAUCAUGGAUGGUUCGAAAAAAUGCAGGUGCUUUUGAACUUGGAUGCGCAAGCCUCGUCGUUUACUGCGUUCUGCAUUUCGCAUCUUCACAUGUACUUGGUGUUGCAAGCGUUUUAUGUUGUGUAAGCCGCGUACUGCAGCUUGAAUUCCAAUUGCAUUGCUUUCAUCUUGUACUUUUCUUCUGCAUUUCAACUGUUCACCUCUUGGUUUGGACAUGACUUAAUACAUGGAUGAGGAUUAAUGGGUUAA
Lathyrus oleraceus (garden pea) is the source of this 2341-nucleotide long non-coding RNA. RefSeq lists it as uncharacterized. The record is from RefSeq and is a predicted model, not a curated record. The transcript is spliced from 3 exons. NCBI's taxonomy places the organism in Eukaryota, Viridiplantae, Streptophyta, Magnoliopsida, Fabales, Fabaceae.